GACGAACGCUGGCGGCGUGCUUAACACAUGCAAGUCGAACGGAAAGGCCCCUUUUGGGGUCCUCGAGUGGCGAACGGGCGAGUAACACGUGAGUAACCUGCCUUUGCCUUCGGGAUAACUUCAGGAAACUGGGGCGAAUACCGGAUAGGAAUCCUUGCUGCAUGGUGGGGGUUGGAAAGCUUCGGCGGGUUUGGAUGGACUCGCGGGCUAUCAGCUUGCUGGUGGGGUAGUGGGUUACCAAGGCUUUGACGGGUAGCCGGCCUGGGGGGGCGACCGGCCAAAUUGGGGCCGAGAAACGGCCCAAGCUCCUACGGGGGGCAGCAGGGGGGAAUAUUGCACCAUGGGCGGGAGCCUGAUGCAGCAAAGCCGGGUGCGGGAAGACGGGCUUCGGGUUGUAAAACGGUUUCAGCAGGGGCGGAGCUGGUGGUGACGGUACCGGCAGAAGAAGCACCGGCUAACUACGUG
RNAcentral lists this ribosomal RNA (465 nucleotides) under uncultured bacterium. Its description in RNAcentral is "partial 16S ribosomal RNA". It matches the Rfam family "Bacterial small subunit ribosomal RNA", at positions 28 to 507 of the family's 1533-position model. The record is from RNAcentral.